AUUGAACGCUGGCGGCAUGCCUUACACAUGCAAGUCGAACGGCAGCACGGGAGCAAUCCUGGUGGCGAGUGGCGAACGGGUGAGUAAUAUAUCGGAACGUGCCCAGUCGUGGGGAUAACGUAGCGAAAGCUACGCUAAUACCGCAUACGAUCUAUGGAUGAAAGCGGGGGAUCGCAAGACCUCGCGCGAUUGGAGCGGCCGAUAUCAGAUUAGGUAGUUGGUGAGGUAAAGGCUCACCAAGCCGACGAUCUGUAGCUGGUCUGAGAGGACGACCAGCCACACUGGGACUGAGACACGGCCCAGACUCCUACGGGAGGCAGCAGUGGGGAAUUUUGGACAAUGGGCGCAAGCCUGAUCCUGCAAUGCCGCGUGCAGGAUGAAGGCCUUCGGUGUAACU
This 397-nucleotide ribosomal RNA is filed under the name uncultured bacterium. RNAcentral's name for it is "bacterial SSU rRNA". It matches the Rfam family "Bacterial small subunit ribosomal RNA", at positions 30 to 431 of the family's 1533-position model. The record is from RNAcentral.